RNAcentral lists this ribosomal RNA (495 nucleotides) under uncultured bacterium. RNAcentral describes it as "partial 16S ribosomal RNA". It matches the Rfam family "Bacterial small subunit ribosomal RNA", at positions 28 to 507 of the family's 1533-position model. The record is from RNAcentral.
GACGAACGCUGGCGGCGUGCCUAAUACAUGCAAGUAGAACGCUGAAGGAGGAGCUUGCUUCUCUGGAUGAGUUGCGAACGGGUGAGUAACGCGUAGGUAACCUGCCUGGUAGCGGGGGAUAACUAUUGGAAACGAUAGCUAAUACCGCAUAAGAGUAGAUGUUGCAUGACAUUUGCUUAAAAGGUGCAAUUGCAUCACUACCAGAUGGACCUGCGUUGUAUUAGCUAGUUGGUGGGGUAACGGCUUACCAAGGCGACGAUACAUAGCCGACCUGAGAGGGUGAUCGGCCACACUGGGACUGAGACACGGCCCAGACUCCCACGGGAGGCAGCAGUAGGGAAUCUUCGGCAAUGGACGGAAGUCUGACCGAGCAACGCCGCGUGAGUGAAGAAGGUUUUCGGAUCGUAAAGCUCUGUUGUAAGAGAAGAACGAGUGUGAGAGUGGAAAGUUCACACUGUGACGGUAUCUUACCAGAAAGGGACGGCUAACUACGUG